RNAcentral lists this small nucleolar RNA (138 nucleotides) under Ornithorhynchus anatinus (platypus). Lineage: Eukaryota; Metazoa; Chordata; Mammalia; Monotremata; Ornithorhynchidae. The record is from RNAcentral.
CCCCCCUAAGGGUCGCACCUGGAGAGUUUCCAGUACUCUCCCUGUCUCGGCUAGUGGAGGGAGAGUCAAGCAGAGGCAUACCCAUUCCAUUUCUAGCUUGGGCAGAGGCUAGUGAGUAGAAGGCAAUCUGCUACACAU